RNAcentral lists this unclassified non-coding RNA (355 nucleotides) under fungal sp. RNAcentral's name for it is "partial internal transcribed spacer region". The stretch from base 1 to 46 matches the Rfam family "Eukaryotic small subunit ribosomal RNA", at positions 1786 to 1831 of the family's 1831-position model. Lineage: Eukaryota; Fungi. The record is from RNAcentral.
AAGUCGUAACAAGGUUUCCGUAGGUGAACCUGCGGAAGGAUCAUUAACACGUGAAAACGUAUUAACCAAUCUACCUUAUACAACCUGUGAAUUUCACCCCUACCUUUCAAUAAGUGCUGUUAUAUGUGUUAUGUUGUAGGUUACGAUUUCGGUCGUAAGCAAACAUGUAUGACUAAGGAGUUAUAUCCUGAGGUAUUUAUUGUUGGGCUUUACUUUUUUCCCCUACAACUAAAAAAAUAAAAAACCAAUUUCACCCUAAAACAUCUGACUGAUUACGCUAGUAGUGAGAAAUCACUGGACUAGUACCAUUUAUUCUAACUAAGCACAACUCUUAGCAAUGGAUAUCUUGGUUCUC